AGCCACAGCCAUAUCACCCUGCAGCCCAAGACCGGUUACUCACUGAAGCUAAGCAGGGCAGAGCCUGGUUAGUACCUGGAUGGGAGACCACUAGGGAACACUAGGUUGCUGUUGGAA
This 117-nucleotide ribosomal RNA is filed under the name Danio rerio (zebrafish). The record is from RNAcentral. Lineage: Eukaryota; Metazoa; Chordata; Actinopteri; Cypriniformes; Danionidae.